RNAcentral lists this ribosomal RNA (465 nucleotides) under uncultured bacterium. Its description in RNAcentral is "partial 16S ribosomal RNA". It matches the Rfam family "Bacterial small subunit ribosomal RNA", at positions 28 to 507 of the family's 1533-position model. The record is from RNAcentral.
GACGAACGCUGGCGGCACGCUUAACACAUGCAAGUCGAACGAGAGAAGAGAAGCUUGCUUUUCUGAUCUAGUGGCGGACGGGUGAGUAACACGUGAGCAAUCUGCCUUUCAGAGGGGGAUACCGAUUGGAAACGAUCGUUUAUACCGCAUAACAUAAUUGAACCGCAUGAUUUGAUUAUCAAAGAUUUAUCGCUGAAAGAUGAGCUCGCGUCUGAUUAGCUAGUUGGUAAGGUAACGGCUUACCAAGGCGACGAUCAGUAGCCGGACUGAGAGGUUGAUCGGCCACAUUGGGACUGAGACACUGCCCAGACUCCUACGGGAGGCAGCAGUGGGGAAUAUUGCACAAUGGAGGAAACUCUGAUGCAGCGAUGCCGCGUGAGGGAAGAAGGUUUUAGGAUUGUAAACCUCUGUCUUCAGGGACGAAAAAAGACGGUACCUGAGGAGGAAGCUCCGGCUAACUACGUG